CUUCUCCAUUGCAAACCAUCCCAAGAAACACUUCUCAUUCUUAUUCUCUCUUCUCUUAUACUCUCUUCUUUCCCUCUUCUUCUCUUUGAAGACCAAGGGAAAUCUAGAGGAGGAGGUUCUGUCCUAGUUUUAGCUCCGGUCCCUAUUUUAGACGGAAGGAGCUUUGGGGAGGCAGCUGUGCUAUAGUCUCAGUUUCUGCCCGAGUUUCAGUUCAGGAUUAUCCAAAUCAGGUGUGAAGCCAUAGGAUAGCAAGGAGUCUUCUGGGUAGCUGCUUUGAGAAGUGGCUAGGCUUAGAGCUUGACCAGCACCUAGGGUGUUUCUGUUAAUGGUUAAUGUUAAUAUAUUUUGGAUGACUGUAUGAUUUUACUGAGAAUGACUAAUAUACUUAUGUUUGCUAUUAUGAAAACAAUUUUUACACUCUA
This is a non-coding RNA of Cajanus cajan (pigeon pea), 422 nucleotides long. Lineage: Eukaryota; Viridiplantae; Streptophyta; Magnoliopsida; Fabales; Fabaceae. The record is from RefSeq and is a predicted model, not a curated record.